Non-coding RNA from Odocoileus virginianus texanus, 1938 nucleotides. Lineage: Eukaryota; Metazoa; Chordata; Mammalia; Artiodactyla; Cervidae. The record is from RefSeq and is a predicted model, not a curated record.
UUACAAAAAACGGGAAGUUAUAAGAUACACUUGAUACUGUCAUUCUAAAUAUUUCACUCAAACCUCAUCAGUUGAGCUAAACCCUAAUAAGACCCAUUUGUCUCAGUUGAAAAUAGAAGGCAGACUUUUUAUAUUCUUCGGAGCCCAAUUUUCGCCCAGCCUCCUCCAGGAAGUCUUUCUGAUCACCAAGCCCAUGUGCCCACUCCCCCAUGACCCAUCCUUAAGGUCUACUGUCCAUACUGUCCAUACUGCAAAUGACUAUCUUACUGCAUAUAUGAUCUAAUUAAUCAGAGUGAGCCUCUCCUAUUACAACUGUAUGGCUCACUGUUUCAUACAUGAGUGUCUUGUCUGAAGAUGCCUAAGGGUGUUUUUCACAUAUGAAGCCAUUUUUAAUCCCCCUAGCACCUAGGACGGGUGUUAAUACACACUCAGUGUUCUGUAAAUACUUGUUGAUCGAUCUGUUAUUUCUUUUCCUAACUCUAUUAGUUCCACAGUAAACAGAGCUAAAGCCAGGACUGAAAGGCAAUGGGGAUUCAAGGUAUAGAGAUAAACUGGACAGUGCCAGAUGUGUUUACAAUGUAUUCAUGACUAUCCCAUUUAUCUGCAGCAUGCCUAUGUAGCUAUGCAUUGAAAACCAGUCUAAAGUAAAAAUGACACACGUGCAUAAAAUAAAAAUCAUUGUGAUAAACCUUUUAAUACAUUGCCUGUUAAAAUUCUCAUGUCACAUGUGUUCAGGUGUUCUAAUCUAUAUGAUUCUGAUUCUCCUUCUAGAAUGGGAAAGGUCACUUUAUGUUCUUAAAGAAUAACCUCAAUCAUCUAGGCCAGGUGCCUCCCAGAGGAAAUGAAGUACAAAAAGGAAAGAGAUACAACUGGUUAGGGGCUUCUGCCUGCUGGAGAUCGCCAGCUUGGUCUGGUGUUUAUUAGGAGCAGCUGCAGAUGCUGGGAUACAAAGCGAUGGUGUUAGAACCCCCAGUAAAAGACCUCGAAGAAAAGCAGAGCCAAUGUAGCAAAGUGUGGGGUAAGAGCAGAUAUCUUCUAUUAAUAAGGAAAAUGGAAAAAUCAAGCUGCAAGCAGAGGUCACCCUCAGCUGAACUUCUACUGCAGUUAUUUCUACCAUUCUCUGAUGUUCUUUCUUUUAGGGACCAAAGUGGAGUGGUUCUGCCUAUUUUCACAAGUUGGUUACUGAAAACAAAGAGAUAUGGAACUCUCUGCUGACAACUGCCUAAGCACAGCAGCAUAAAGGAAGGGGUGCUGGAAGUCUGGACCUGCUGAGCUCCGAUCAAGCCGCUAUGCCUUUUACUGCCUGAAAGACCUUCACUCAGUCUUACAGAACUCUCAGGACCACAGAAAUGUAAACUAGCAUCAUGUUUUUUUUUAAAAAACUUCUUAUAAGCAACAUGUACAAAUGAAACCUGUCUCUAAGCCUAUGUGAAGAACUUCAAAUAAGAGGGAAAAUGAAGUUUUGAAUUAAAAGUACAUUUCUAAGGCAUCUUCCAAUCUCAAAUAAAAUGUGUUAAUUUUCAGCCAUGGCAUCUGAGAGCACAUUAUCAGGUUAAGCCUUUAAAACUUAUUUUUAGGUGUAAUUCACUUUUAUCAUUUAAGCGUACAAAAAUUGUUCUGAGACAGUGGUUUGAGCAGAAAAAAGUGUUUAAGAAAUAAGCUUAGGAAAUGAUUAAAAAAUUAUUUCACAAAAUGGAUUUAUUGGAGUAUUAGCCAACAAAUUACAUAUACUUUACCUAGUAAUACCUCACAGAAUGAGUAGAAAUAGAUGAACCAAAAGAAAAGGAGGUUAUUUAUUAAAUAUCUUGUAAAUUUUUCUCCAUCUGCUGACCUUUCAUAGCAUUUUAUUCAUAGCAUUUAUGUAACACUAAGACUUAAUGGACAUGGGUUUGGGUGGACUCCGGGAGUUGGUGAUGGACACGGAGGCCUGGUGUGCUG